UACAGAGGGGGCAAGCGUUGUUCGGAAUUACUGGGCGUAAAGGGCGCGUAGGCGGCCUGCUAAGUCGAACGUGAAAUCCCUGGGCUCAACCCAGGAACUGCGUCCGAUACUGGUUGGCUUGAAUCCGGGAGAGGGAUGUGGAAUUCCAGGUGUAGCGGUGAAAUGCGUAGAUAUCUGGAGGAACACCAAUGGCGAAGGCAGCUCGCUGGGACGGUACUGACGCUGAGACGCGAAAGCGUGGGGAGCAAACAGG
This 253-nucleotide ribosomal RNA is filed under the name uncultured bacterium. RNAcentral describes it as "partial 16S ribosomal RNA". It matches the Rfam family "Bacterial small subunit ribosomal RNA", at positions 524 to 776 of the family's 1533-position model. The record is from RNAcentral.